RNAcentral lists this ribosomal RNA (110 nucleotides) under Klebsiella pneumoniae. The record is from RNAcentral. Lineage: Bacteria; Pseudomonadati; Pseudomonadota; Gammaproteobacteria; Enterobacterales; Enterobacteriaceae.
GGCUCCGGCCCUAUCAGCCUGAAGGCGCCCGAUCUCGUCUGAUCUCGGAAGCUAAGCAGGGUCGGGCCUGGUUAGGAUCUUGGAUGGGAGACCACCUGGGAAUCCCGGGU